UACGAGGGGGGCGAGCGUUGUUCGGAAUUAUUGGGCGUAAAGCGCGCGCAGGCGGUCUUUUAAGUCUGAUGUGAAAGCCCACGGCUCAACCGUGGAGGGUCAUUGGAAACUGGGAGACUUGAGUGCAGAAGAGAAGAGCGGAAUUCCACGUGUAGCGGUGAAAUGCGUAGAGAUGUGGAGGAACACCAGUGGCGAAGGCGGCUCUUUGGUCUGUAACUGACGCUGAGGCGCGAAAGCGUGGGGAGCGAACAGG
Molecule: ribosomal RNA, 253 nt
Filed under: uncultured bacterium
Lineage: Bacteria
Description: partial 16S ribosomal RNA
Rfam family: Bacterial small subunit ribosomal RNA
Source: RNAcentral